UAAUCUGGCACCUUCGGUGUCCGAGUUGUAAUCUCUAGAAAUGUUUUCCGCGUUGGACCGCACACAAGUCUGUUGGAAUACAGCGGCAUAGUGGUGAGACCCCCGUAUAUGGUGCGGACGCCCAGCGCUUUGUGAUACAUUUUCGAAGUGUCGAGUUGUUUGGGAAUGCAGCUCAAAUUGGGUGGUAAAUUCCAUCUAAAGCUAAAUAUUGGCGAGAGACCGAUAGCGAACAAGUACCGUGAGGGAAAGAUGAAAAGCACUUUGGAAAGAGAGUUAACAGUACGUGAAAUUGUUGGAAGGGAAACGCUUGAAGUCAGACUUGCUUGCCGAGCAAUCGGUUUGCAGGCCAGCAUCAGUUUUCCGGGAUGGAUAAUGGUAGAGAGAAGGUAGCAGUUUCGGCUGUGUUAUAGCUCUCUGCUGGAUACAUCUUGGGGGACUGAGGAACGCAGUGUGCCUUUGGCGGGGGUUUCGACCUCUUCACACUUAGGAUGCUGGUGGAAUGGCUUUAAACGACCCGUCUUGAAACACGGACCAAGGAGUCUAACAUGCUUGCGAGUAUUUGGGUGUCAAACCCGGAUGCGUAAUGAAAGUGAAUGGAGGUGGGAACCGCAAGGUGCACCAUCGACCGAUCUGGAUUUUUAAUGAUGGAUUUGAGUAAGAGCACGUAUGUUGGGACCCGAAAGAUGGUGAACUAUGCCUGAAUAGGGCGAAGCCAGAGGAAACUCUGGUGGAGGCUCGUAGCGGUUCUGACGUGCAAAUCGAUCG
This 765-nucleotide ribosomal RNA is filed under the name Rhodotorula mucilaginosa. RNAcentral's name for it is "eukaryotic LSU rRNA". It matches the Rfam family "Eukaryotic large subunit ribosomal RNA", at positions 118 to 904 of the family's 3401-position model. The record is from RNAcentral. Lineage: Eukaryota; Fungi; Basidiomycota; Microbotryomycetes; Sporidiobolales; Sporidiobolaceae.